Long non-coding RNA from Thalassophryne amazonica, 114 nucleotides. RefSeq lists it as uncharacterized. The record is from RefSeq and is a predicted model, not a curated record. NCBI's taxonomy places the organism in Eukaryota, Metazoa, Chordata, Actinopteri, Batrachoidiformes, Batrachoididae. The transcript has 3 exons.
UGGGGACAGUGUCUCACCUUGGUAUAUUCUGCACUUGAUGGUGACUUGUGUGAUUGCCUUGGAGUUGGCCUCCAGUGACAUCUUCCACAGUCCCACUGAGUUUUUAAACUCCGU